GAGUUUGAUCAUGGCUCAGAUUGAACGCUGGCGGCAGGCCUAACACAUGCAAGUCGAACGGUAACAGGAAGCAGCUUGCUGCUUCGCUGACGAGUGGCGGACGGGUGAGUAAUGUCUGGGAAGCUGCCUGAUGGAGGGGGAUAACUACUGGAAACGGUAGCUAAUACCGCAUAAUGUCGCAAGACCAAAGAGGGGGACCUUCGGGCCUCUUGCCAUCGGAUGUGCCCAGAUGGGAUUAGCUUGUUGGUGGGGUAACGGCUCACCAAGGCGACGAUCCCUAGCUGGUCUGAGAGGAUGACCAGCCACACUGGAACUGAGACACGGUCCAGACUCCUACGGGAGGCAGCAGUGGGGAAUAUUGCACAAUGGGCGCAAGCCUGAUGCAGCCAUGCCGCGUGUAUGAAGAAGGCCUUCGGGUUGUAAAGUACUUUCAGCGGGGAGGAAGGGAGUAAAGUUAAUACCUUUGCUCAUUGACGUUACCCGCAGAAGAAGCACCGGCUAACUCCGUGCCAGCAGCCGCGGUAAUACGGAGGGUGCAAGCGUUAAUCGGAAUUACUGGGCGUAAAGCGCACGCAGGCGGUUUGUUAAGUCAGAUGUGAAAUCCCCGGGCUCAACCUGGGAACUGCAUCUGAUACUGGCAAGCUUGAGUCUCGUAGAGGGGGGUAGAAUUCCAGGUGUAGCGGUGAAAUGCGUAGAGAUCUGGAGGAAUACCGGUGGCGAAGGCGGCCCCCUGGACGAAGACUGACGCUCAGGUGCGAAAGCGUGGGGAGCAAACAGGAUUAGAUACCCUGGUAGUCCACGCCGUAAACGAUGUCGACUUGGAGGUUGUGCCCUUGAGGCGUGGCUUCCGGAGCUAACGCGUUAAGUCGACCGCCUGGGGAGUACGGCCGCAAGGUUAAAACUCAAAUGAAUUGACGGGGACCCCACAAGCGGUGGAGCAUGUGGUUUAAUUCGAUGCAACGCGAAGAACCUUACCUGGUCUUGACAUCCACGGAAGUUUUCAGAGAUGAGAAUGUGCCUUCGGGAACCGUGAGACAGGUGCUGCAUGGCUGUCGUCAGCUCGUGUUGUGAAAUGUUGGGUUAAGUCCCGCAACGAGCGCAACCCUUAUCCUUUGUUGCCAGCGGUCCGGCCGGGAACUCAAAGGAGACUGCCAGUGAUAAACUGGAGGAAGGUGGGGAUGACGUCAAGUCAUCAUGGCCCCUUACGACCAGGGCUACACACGUGCUACAAUGGCGCAUACAAAGAGAAGCGACCUCGCGAGAGCAAGCGGACCUCAUAAAGUGCGUCGUAGUCCGGAUUGGAGUCUGCAACUCGACUCCAUGAAGUCGGAAUCGCUAGUAAUCGUGGAUCAGAAUGCCACGGUGAAUACGUUCCCGGGCCUUGUACACACCGCCCGUCACACCAUGGGAGUGGGUUGCAAAAGAAGUAGGUAGCUUAACCUUCGGGAGGGCGCUUACCACUUUGUGAUUCAUGACUGGGGUGAAGUCGAAACAAGGUA
This 1499-nucleotide ribosomal RNA is filed under the name metagenome. Its description in RNAcentral is "bacterial SSU rRNA". It matches the Rfam family "Bacterial small subunit ribosomal RNA". The record is from RNAcentral.